This 92-nucleotide ribosomal RNA is filed under the name uncultured Sphingomonas sp. RNAcentral's name for it is "partial 16S ribosomal RNA". It matches the Rfam family "Bacterial small subunit ribosomal RNA", at positions 905 to 996 of the family's 1533-position model. Lineage: Bacteria; Pseudomonadati; Pseudomonadota; Alphaproteobacteria; Sphingomonadales; Sphingomonadaceae. The record is from RNAcentral.
AGAAAUUGACGGGGGCCUGCACAAGCGGUGGAGCAUGUGGUUUAAUUCGAAGCAACGCGCAGAACCUUACCAGCGUUUGACAUGGUAGGACG